CGGGAGCAGGGAAGGCGGGAUCUUGCUACAGCGAUGACGCGUGUGUGAUGAAGGCCUUCGGGUUGUAAAGCUCUUUCAGCGGGGAGGAGGGGGUUUUGGCUAAUACCUUUGGCUCUUGACCGUACCUCGAGAAGAAGCCCCCGCUAACUUCAUGCCAGCAGCCGCGGUAAUA
RNAcentral lists this ribosomal RNA (172 nucleotides) under uncultured bacterium. RNAcentral describes it as "partial 16S ribosomal RNA". It matches the Rfam family "Bacterial small subunit ribosomal RNA", at positions 342 to 525 of the family's 1533-position model. The record is from RNAcentral.